GUCAAUAUAAAAGCUAGCAAAUGAAAAAAACCAAAAUGAGUUUAUCUUGUGAAAAAAAGAACUUCUACUUAAUGUCAUAUCCAGCUCAAGUAAAAUCAUAAUAAUUAUUUAAACCAUAAGCUUUUGUAUCAAAAUCGAUAUCUUAGAUCUCAAAUGUUAACAAAAAUAAUGUUAACCAUGUCUUACUAUAAGUUAUCUUACAUUAAAAUAUAAUGAUGUUAUACAUAUUCAAUUCAAUAAUUACAAAUGUAAAGAUAAAAUCAUUUUGUUUCCCCCAAUUAAUGUUAGGGUGGCAGGCAUAUAUAUUAUUUUCAAUACUAGCAGUGCCUUCACAUGUAUCUAGACCUUGUUUUACACGGGUGGAGGUAAUUAGGUAAUGUAUGUGCAAAAUCCAUGGUGUUCAUCAUCUCCAUCACUAUACAACCAGUUGCUAACCCAAAGCGUUUUGGCAAAAUAAAUUUUGCUUCUUGCCAGCAAAAAAGGUUCCUUCCCCGACCUGCCGCUAUCACUUUAUUCGGACUUAUGGCUGCUGAGUAGUUCAUACCAUGAAAAAGUAUUAUCUUAUGCUUGGUGAAUAAUUAGCAUCUGAAAUGUAACUAAAAUUGCAAGCAAUAUAUUUUCAUAACCCCUGAUGAGGAAAAUAUGGUUGGAAGCAAGUAUUGAUGAUGCAGAAAUUUAUAUCAUAUCAAAUAUAUAUCAAUUAAACACAACUAACAAAACUUAUAUUGAGUUGCCCAAGAGAAAUAGGUACAAACUUCUAAAAUAUCUCGAAGAUAAUCUUCUAAACUUCUAUAAUCUUUUUAAAUAGUUGCAACUUAUUAUGCAAUUAAAUGUAAUUUUCAACAAUUUUUUUUAAAUUGCAUUUGUGAUUGCAUAUAUGGUUGCUAACAAUUGCACAUACAAUUGCAUCAUCUCAUUUAGAACAAUUUAUGUUGAUGCAACUCUCAUACUCCUUUCUAUUUUCAGGACAUAGUUGGUGCUUUUCCUCGGCUGUACUUCUCCAUUAGCUGAGCUAACUCUGCAUCAAACUCCUUAUCCAACUUUACAUUCUUCUCGCAGCGCUGCCUCUUCAACUCAACCUUCCUCUCUUCCCGAUAUUUUCGAAAUUUGUAUCUUUCUUCGGCAACUCAAUAUGGGUUUUCUUAGUUAUUUUCGAUUGAAUUUUUUAUUUUAGUUGAUUUUCUGGUUGUUAUAAGUUUCAACUGUUUGAAAAGCAACCAUGAAAUUAACUAAAAUCAGUGUUUUAAAAAGCGCAUUAAGCGGCCGCUUAAGCGGCCGCCUAAGCGGAAUCGGCCCUAAAACGCCUCGAUUUUGUAUUAAGCGGGUUCUUAAGCGUUUUUGAAAAUUAAGCGGACUAUUAAGCGGAUUAAGCGGUCGUUAAGCGGAUUAAGCGGUACUUAAGCGGUCAAAAUGAUUUUGACUUGCUAAUUUUUCAGUUUUAAAAUAUUUUUUUAUAUAAUAUAACUAUAAUUAUAUUAAAAAAUUAAUAUAUAUAUAUAUAUAUUUAAAAAUUUAAAUUCUUACCACAAUAUAACAUUAUUUUUGAAUAUAUUAAUAUUAAAAUUAAAUAUUUAAUUAUAUUUUAUUAAUCCGCUUAUUGGCCCGCUUAAGAUUCCGCUUAAGCGUCCGCUUUACCGCUUAAACGCUAGAAGGUCUUUUCACCGCCUAGAGCCGAUUUGCGCUUUUCAUAACACUGACUAAAACCAAAAAAUCAUCUAAAACAACCAACAAAACCGAUAUUGAGUUGUCGAAGAAAGGUACACACUUCUAAAAAUAUCUGGAAGUGAGGAAGGCGGAGUUGAAGAGGCAACGCUUCGAGGAGGAUGUAAAGCUGGAUAAGGAGUUUGAUGCACAAUUAACUCGGCUCAUGGAGAAGUACAGCCGAGGAAAAGCACUAGCUAUGUCCUGAAAAUAGAAAGGAGUACGAGAGAUGCAGCAACAUAAAUCGUUCUAAAUGAGAUAAUGCAACUGUAUGUGCAACUGACAACCAUAUAAACAACUACAAAUGUAAUUUAAAAAAACGGUUAAAAAAUACAUUUAAUUGCAUAAUAAGUUGCAACUGUUUGAAAAUUUUAUAACCGAUCAUUAUUAAUAUCAUAGAAACAAUCAUAAAAUCAACUAAAAUAAAAAAAAUAAUUAAAAAGAACCAACAAAACUGAUAUCGAGUUGUGGAAGAAAGGUACAAUCUUCUAAAAUAUCUGGAAGAGGAAGGCUGAGUUCAAGAGGCUGCGCUGCGAGGAGGAUGUAAAGCUGGAUAAGGAGUUUGAUACUGAGUUGGUGAUGUGCUCAAAAUAUGAUUUUGAAAUUACUCGCAAGUGCACGAUCCCGUUUUAGUAAUAUAAGAUUCGUUCCAAGGACUAAAUUUAUUUUCGCGAAAACUUAAUUUUUAACUUAAUCAAAUUAGACCAAAUGAUUUUUGAAGGUGUUUUGAUUUAUCUAAAUUGAAAAUUAAAAAUUGAAUCUAAAAUCUAAAAUACUAAUUAACAAUUAAAUUUGAAAGAAAAUAAUUAUCUAAAUAGAAACUACUAAUUAAUAAUUAACAAGUAAUUAGGAAACUACUGACGCAGGCAGUUGAAAUGCGUGGUGCGGUAAGCGAAACAAAGGACAAGAAAAUAAUAAAAGAAAACAAAUAAAAAGUAAAUAAUAAAAUAAUAAAAUAAUAAAAACAGGCGGGGUGCAACAGCAGAAUACUAAAUGAAAUAGUAGGCGCGUGAGUAACUGACUAUAUCUUCUCGAACAGUAGCCGUAAACUAAACAGUGACGCAAUUACAUGAUUCUCGCAUCGGAAGUUAUGGAGGUGCUCGGAAUAGCUUAAAUCUCGUCGGAAAAUUGAUUUGACCGGAAAAUUAAGCCAUUCCAACUAUGACAAAUAAAAGCACACUAACCUCUAAACCAAAUUUGACACUAAAUUUUACACUAAAUAGCCCCUAAACUACCCAUUUCUUGACCAAAACGAGAUCCAAAUCAAACCAAAUCAACUCUAAACUACACCAAAUUUCAAAUCUAACCUAAACAUAAUAUUUCCAACAUAAACCCACUAACCUCAAUUAAAAAUCAUAAACUAAAAUUUACACCAAAAAGCCCCAAAAUCAAGAACAAGGAGAACACCAAAUCUUACCAAACUAACUCCAAAUUACACAAAACUUUAAAACUAGCUUAUCUAUCAAGUUUCUAACAAAACCCCAUCAAACUACCAACCAAAAUAUCAACUAAGCCAUUGAACCCACUAAUAAUAUUGAGAAUCAAAAGGGGCUCAAGCUAAAUACUAAAAAUGUAAGCUUAAAACUUGAAUCAAAGGCUCAACCCACAAGUGGUUGGCAUAAAUGCCACUUUAUCCACUUGUUGUAAAUAAAGGUUUUCAUAGCCAUAAAUUUCAACAAGGUAAAGAUGUAGGAGAUGAAGAAACUAAACUUGAACUUAUAUUAAACAAGAAAGUGUUUACAAUAUUUGAGAGAUUACAAUUUGAAAAAGAAAGCUAGAAAUUGAUGGAGGCUACUAACAACUAGGUAAAACUAGGGUAAACUAACUUGAGAGCUAAUGAGAGAAAAGGGUGUUUAUAUAGGCCAAGAUUAGGGUUUUAGGGGUAGAAGGGUCCUUGUUUUUUUUUGAUUUUCUUUUCCCUUUUCUUCUUCUUCUUCUUUUUCUUUUCUUUUUCUUCCUCUUUUUCCCUUCUUGCACCUUUUUGUUCCUUUUUCUCUUGAAUUCUCGAUUUCUCUAAAAAUUCCUGAAAACAAAACAAUUAACUAAUAAAAUACGAAAACAAGCAAUAAAUCGGUAGUUAAAAUGUGCAAAAUAAUGGACCUAUCAGUUGGCUCGGCUGACCGAUCGAGAAAUACAGCGAGCAAAAGCACCAGCUCUGUCCGGAAAAAAUAGAAAGGAGCGUGACAAAUGCAGCAGCAUAAAUUGUUCUAAAUGAUUGCAAACAAAAUCACAGACCCACACAAAUUCAUAACCAUAUUAUUUUACGAAAAAUGAGAAAAAAUUAGGUUUACCUUGCAUGGUGGUACACCGGAACAUUUUCUUCCUUUUUUAUCAAAUUGCAAUCAUAUAUGCUAAAGGAUGGGAGAAAAUACGCAAGCUGUACUAUAUGAAAAUAUAUUAGAUAUGAAGAUUACAAGAAUAUGCUCAAAUAAAUAAUAUGUAAUUUAAAGGGAAACCAAAAGUUCCAACAAUAAAGAAUUUAAAUACAAAUCACAUGAUAAAUAUGUCAUAUUAUUAGUUAAAUAUACAAAUUUAGUGUAUAAUGAAUUUUUAUUUAUUAUAAAUUUAACAUAGAUUAUAUUUAAGUCUUCCACAAAAAAAUAUAUAAAUAUAACCCGAACCAAAAUACCUUUUUAAAAAAUAUAGUAAAAUAAGAAUAAAUCCACUUUAAUUUACAAAACAUAAUUACAUUUAAAUUAAUUUUUAAAUUCUAAUCAUAAUGAGUAGAUUAAUUUAAUAAAAUAAAUGAAAACACAAGAAAUGUUUGUGCAAUAUACUUAAAUAUUUAUUUUUAUGCAUCACAACUUGAUGGGAUAUUUUUUUCAUACUAUAAUUUUUUAGUUUGUUUUAAAAUACAAUAUAUUAAUUUAUUAUCAAUAUUUCAAGUUGCUCUAUUUUUAGAAUUUUAGUUUUAAGCCCAUAUAAAAAAAUUCCAAUGACCACAAAUAUGCUUACAUAUAUUGUUUCAAAAAUAAAAUAGCAAAAUAAUUUGUAAAAUAAUUUUUUUUAAAUAUUUGAAACACAAAUAUACUUUAAAUACUAAGCAUCUUUAAAAUAUAAAUUUCUUUUUUUGACUUCAAUUAAUAUUAAUUUCUUGAAAUCAUUGAUAUAUUAUCAUCUAAAAUUUACGUUGAGAGAAAAAUAUCUAUAAAAAUUAUAUAAGCUAUAUCAUAUAUAUGCACACCAUCUGUCAUAUAAACACGUCAAAAGAAAAUUUAAUAGAAGACUAUAUCUAAAAUCAAAUAUUAAAUACAUAAGAAACGUGUAAUCUAUUAGUACAUAAUCAUACACACAUACAAGAAUAUGAAAUAAGAUAUUGGUAAUGAGAUUACAGAUCCAAUACCUUGGUAAUUCCGGCAAACCCUUGUGACAGUUUACUUGGCCAACGCACAUACAGGGGGAAGGAUAAAGAGACUAGCAUGUGUGUGUAUAUAUACUAAAGAUUUGUGUGUAUAUAUAUAUUAAAGAUUUAUACAGAUUUUGAAGCUAAAUGACUGGGAGUCAUGGUUGGAGAAAAGAUGGAGGCUAAAGAAAUGGGGAGAGAAAGGCUAAAUGACUGGGAGUCAUGGUUGGAGAAAAGAUGGAGGCUAAAGAAAUGGGGAGAGAAAGAAGAGAAGAGCGGCGGUUGAGUAACUCUUAUGAGAUAGGUAAUGAUUAUUUAUAUGCAAUUUUUAGGGUUGGAAAGAAAUUGACUAAAAU
Molecule: long non-coding RNA, 5400 nt
Filed under: Daucus carota (carrot)
Lineage: Eukaryota; Viridiplantae; Streptophyta; Magnoliopsida; Apiales; Apiaceae
Description: long non-coding RNA (DCAR_LNC005045)
Source: RNAcentral